AGGUGGCCGCAGAGAAUAGGCCCAAGCGACUGUUUACCAAAAACAUAGGUUUCUGCUAAGUCGCAAGACGAUGUAUAGGAGCUGACGCCUGCCCGGUGCUGGAAGGUUAAGGGGAUCUGUUAGAGUAAUCGAAGCAGUGAACUUAAGCCCCAGUAAACGGCGGCCGUAACUAUAACGGUCCUAAGGUAGCGAAAUUCCUUGUCGGGUAAGUUCCGACCCGCACGAAAGGCGUAACGAUUUGGGCACUGUCUCAACAACAGACUCGGUGAAAUUGUAAUUCCGGUGAAGAUGCCGGAUACCUGCGACAGGACGGAAAGACCCCAUGGAGCUUUACUGUAGCUUGACAUUGGGUCUUGGUACUACAUGUACAGGAUAGGUGGGAGGCUUUGAAACCAGGACGCCAGUUUUGGCGGAGCCAUCCUUGGGAUACCACCCUUGUAGUACUGGGACUCUAACCAUAGGCCAUGAAUCUGGUCUUGGGACACUGUCAGGUGGGCAGUUUGACUGGGGCGGUCGCCUCCCAAAAGGUAACGGAGGCGCUCAAAGGUUCUCUCAGUACGGUCGGAAAUCGUACGUAGAGUGUAAAGGCAAAAGAGAGCUUGAUUGCAAGACAUACAGGUCGAGCAAGGAUGAAAAUCGGACUUAGUGAUCCGGUGGU
Molecule: ribosomal RNA, 658 nt
Filed under: Clostridioides difficile
Lineage: Bacteria; Bacillati; Bacillota; Clostridia; Peptostreptococcales; Peptostreptococcaceae
Description: bacterial LSU rRNA
Rfam family: Bacterial large subunit ribosomal RNA
Source: RNAcentral